RNAcentral lists this ribosomal RNA (561 nucleotides) under Streptosporangium sp. 303G03. RNAcentral's name for it is "bacterial SSU rRNA". It matches the Rfam family "Bacterial small subunit ribosomal RNA", at positions 93 to 671 of the family's 1533-position model. RNAcentral also lists the same sequence under 12 other names. Lineage: Bacteria; Bacillati; Actinomycetota; Actinomycetes; Streptosporangiales; Streptosporangiaceae. The record is from RNAcentral.
GAGCGGCGAACGGGUGAGUAACACGUGAGUAACCUGCCCCCGACUCUGGGAUAAGCCCGGGAAACUGGGUCUAAUACCGGAUAUGACACCUCCUCGCAUGGGGUGGGUGUGGAAAGUUUUUUCGGUUGGGGAUGGACUCGCGGCCUAUCAGCUUGUUGGUGGGGUAAUGGCCUACCAAGGCGACGACGGGUAGCCGGCCUGAGAGGGCGACCGGCCACACUGGGACUGAGACACGGCCCAGACUCCUACGGGAGGCAGCAGUGGGGAAUAUUGCGCAAUGGGCGAAAGCCUGACGCAGCGACGCCGCGUGGGGGAUGACGGCCUUCGGGUUGUAAACCUCUUUCAGCAGGGACGAAGUUGACGUGUACCUGCAGAAGAAGCGCCGGCUAACUACGUGCCAGCAGCCGCGGUAAUACGUAGGGCGCAAGCGUUGUCCGGAAUUAUUGGGCGUAAAGAGCUCGUAGGUGGCUUGUCACGUCGGGUGUGAAAGCUUGGGGCUUAACUCCAGGUCUGCAUUCGAUACGGGCUGGCUAGAGGUAGGUAGGGGAGAACGGAAUUCCU